RNAcentral lists this ribosomal RNA (301 nucleotides) under uncultured bacterium. RNAcentral describes it as "partial 16S ribosomal RNA". It matches the Rfam family "Bacterial small subunit ribosomal RNA", at positions 509 to 807 of the family's 1533-position model. The record is from RNAcentral.
CAGCAGCCGCGGUAAUACGUAGGGUGCAAGCGUUAAUCAGAAUUACUGGGCGUAAAGCGUGCGCAGGCGGUUAUAUAAGUCAGAUGUGAAAUCCCCGGGCUCAACCUGGGAACUGCAUUUGAGACUGUAUGGCUAGAGUGUGUCAGAGGGGGGUAGAAUUCCACGUGUAGCAGUGAAAUGCGUAGAUAUGUGGAGGAAUACCGAUGGCGAAGGCAGCCCCCUGGGAUAACACUGACGCUCAUGCACGAAAGCGUGGGGAGCAAACAGGAUUAGAUACCCGAGUAGUCCCUGUCUCUUAUAC